UACGUAGGUGACAAGCGUUAUCCGGAAUUACUGGGCGUAAAGCGCACGCAGGCGGUGCGUUAAGUCUGACGUGAAAUCUCCUGGCUUAACUGGGAGGGGUCGUUGGAAACUGGCGGACUUGAGGCGAUGAGAGGGGUGUAGAAUUCCCGGUGUAGUGGUGGAAUGCGUAGAUAUCGGGAGGAACACCAGUGGCGAAGGCGACUACCUGGCCUGUUCUUGACGCUGAGGCGCGAAAGCUAGGGGAGCAAACGGG
Molecule: ribosomal RNA, 253 nt
Filed under: uncultured bacterium
Lineage: Bacteria
Description: partial 16S ribosomal RNA
Rfam family: Bacterial small subunit ribosomal RNA
Source: RNAcentral